RNAcentral lists this ribosomal RNA (403 nucleotides) under uncultured bacterium. RNAcentral's name for it is "partial 16S ribosomal RNA". It matches the Rfam family "Bacterial small subunit ribosomal RNA", at positions 30 to 526 of the family's 1533-position model. The record is from RNAcentral.
AUUGAACGCUGGCGGCAGGCCUAACACAUGCAAGUCGAGCGAGCGGCGGACGGGUGAGUAAUGUAUGGGGACUGCCCGAUAGAGGGGGAUAACUACUGGACACGGUGGCUAAUACCGCAUACUAUCGGCUACCCCAUAUGGGAUUAGCUAGUAGGUGGGGUAAAGGCGCACCUAGGCGACGAUCUCUAGCUGGUCUGAGAGGAGGAUCAGCCACCCUGGGACUGAGACACGGGCCUGAUUCCGACGGAGGCAGCAGUGGGGAAUAUUGCACAAUGGGCGCAAGCCUGAUGAAGCCAUGCCGCGUGUAUGAAGAAGGCCUUAGGGUUGUAAAGUACUUUCAGCGGGGAGGCGUUACCCGCAGAAGAAGCACCGGCUAACUCCGUGCCAGCAGCCGCGGUAAUUC